GCGGGAGUGGCGAAACUGGCAGACGCGCUGGACUUAGGAUCCAGUGGGGCAACCCUUGCGGGUUCAAAUCCCGCCUUCCGCA
Molecule: transfer RNA, 82 nt
Filed under: Gemmatimonadaceae bacterium
Lineage: Bacteria; Pseudomonadati; Gemmatimonadota; Gemmatimonadia; Gemmatimonadales; Gemmatimonadaceae
Description: tRNA-Leu
Rfam family: tRNA
About the family: Transfer RNA (tRNA) molecules are approximately 80 nucleotides in length. Their secondary structure includes four short double-helical elements and three loops (D, anti-codon, and T loops).
Source: RNAcentral